AUUGAACGCUGGCGGCAGGCCUAACACAUGCAAGUCGAACGAGUGGCGGACGGGUGAGUAAUGUCUGGGAAACUGCCCGAUGGAUGGGGAUAACUACUGGAAACGGUAGCUAAUACCGCUCACCAUCAGAUGUGCCCAGAUGGGAUUCGCUUGUUGGUGGGGUAACGGCUCACCAAGGCGACGCUCCCUAGCUGGUCUGAGAGGAUGACCAGCCACACUGGGACUGAGACACGGUCCAGACUCCUACGGGAGGCAGCAGUGGGGAAUAUUGCACAAUGGGCGAAAGCCUGAUGCAGCCAUGCCGCGGGUAUGAAGAAGGCCUUCGGGUUGUAAAGUACUUUCAGCGGGGAGGCGUUACCCGCAGAAGAAGCACCGGCUAACUCCGUGCCAGCAGCCGCGGUAAUUC
This 406-nucleotide ribosomal RNA is filed under the name uncultured bacterium. RNAcentral's name for it is "partial 16S ribosomal RNA". It matches the Rfam family "Bacterial small subunit ribosomal RNA", at positions 30 to 526 of the family's 1533-position model. The record is from RNAcentral.